RNAcentral lists this ribosomal RNA (465 nucleotides) under Speleogobius trigloides (grotto goby). RNAcentral's name for it is "partial 12S ribosomal RNA". It matches the Rfam family "Bacterial small subunit ribosomal RNA", at positions 868 to 1533 of the family's 1533-position model. The record is from RNAcentral. Lineage: Eukaryota; Metazoa; Chordata; Actinopteri; Gobiiformes; Gobiidae.
CUUGCCAGGGAACUACAAGCCCUAGCUUAAAACCCAAAGGACUUGGCGGUGCUUUAGACCCCCCUAGAGGAGCCUGUUCUAGAACCGAUAAUCCCCGUUAAACCUCACCCUCUCUUGCUUUUCCCGCCUAUAUACCGCCGUCGUCAGCUUACCCUAUGAAGGAUUUAAAGUGAGCAUAAUUGGUACAACCUAAAACGUCAGGUCAAGGUGUAGCGUAUGAGAGGGAAAGAAAUGGGCUACAUUCACUGAUUCAGUGAAAACGGACGAUGCCUUGAAAUACUCAUCCAAAGGAGGAUUUAGCAGUAAGAGAGAAAUAGAGUGUUUCUCUGAAAUUGGCCCUGAAGCGCGCACACACCGCCCGUCACUCUCCCCAAGUGCCAACAUAAAAGUAAAUAAAUAACCAACAAAACAAAGGGGAGGCAAGUCGUAACAUGGUAAGUGUACCGGAAGGUGCACUUGGAAAAU